CUGGAAAUACAUUGCAUCGGGUGGCCCCAAGAACAUGGGCCCCUGAAAGUGCGGGCCUGGCGGUUAUACCGCACGGGCCAGGUCUGCACCACAUGGCCGGCAGGCACCCAGUUGGUGGGGUCCACAGGGCGGCCGGGCCACCUGGAGGGACAGGCCCAGUCGCAGCUGCAACCCCUGCGUUCAUUGAAGGUCUGCCAAAAAACAAAACACAAAGAGAAAUUGAUGGAGAAAGAGAAGGUUAAUUUAAAACGAAAACCCAUAAAGUGUCAGAGCUAAUUACUGUGAAAUAAACACAUUGUAGAACUUUCAAAAUGGCCUCCGUCACAAACACACGGGAUCUCAGAAAUUGCUCUGUCAUUAAGGAGUUAA
Pelobates cultripes (western spadefoot toad) is the source of this 369-nucleotide non-coding RNA. Lineage: Eukaryota; Metazoa; Chordata; Amphibia; Anura; Pelobatidae. The record is from the annotation of a GenBank genome assembly.